UGAAGCAGGCAACAGCUCAAAUUUGAAAUCUGGCUCUUUCAGAGUCCGAGUUGUAAUUUGCAGAGGGCGCUUUGGCUUUGGCAGCGGUCCAAGUUCCUUGGAACAGGACGUCACAGAGGGUGAGAAUCCCGUACGUGGUCGCUAGCUAUUGCCGUGUAAAGCCCCUUCGACGAGUCGAGUUGUUUGGGAAUGCAGCUCUAAAUGGGAGGUAAAUUUCUUCUAAAGCUAAAUAUUGGCCAGAGACCGAUAGCGCACAAGUAGAGUGAUCGAAAGAUGAAAAGCACUUUGGAAAGAGAGUCAAACAGCACGUGAAAUUGUUGAAAGGGAAGCGCUUGCAGCCAGACUUGCUUGCAGUUGCUCAUCCGGGCUUUUGCCCGGUGCACUCUUCUGUAGGCAGGCCAGCAUCAGUUUGGGCGGUGGGAUAAAGGUCUCUGACACGUUCCUUCCUUCGGGUUGGCCAUAUAGGGGAGACGACAUACCACCAGCCUGGACUGAGGUCCGCGCAUCUGCUAGGAUGCUGGCGUAAUGGCUGUAAGCGGCCCGUCUUGAAACACGGACCAAGGAGUCUAACAUCUAUGCGAGUGUUUGGGUGUCAAGCCCGAACGCGUAAUGAAAGUGAACGGAGGUGGGAACCCGCAAGGGUGCACCAUCGACCGAUCCUGAAGUUUACGGAAGGAUUUGAGUAAGAGCAUGGCUGUUGGGACCCGAAAGAUGGUGAACUAUGCUUGAAUAGGGUGAAGCCAGAGGAAACUCUGGUGGAGGCUCGCAGCGGUUCUGACGUGCAAAUCGAUCGU
RNAcentral lists this ribosomal RNA (794 nucleotides) under Curvularia aeria. Its description in RNAcentral is "LSU rRNA". It matches the Rfam family "Eukaryotic large subunit ribosomal RNA", at positions 94 to 905 of the family's 3401-position model. Lineage: Eukaryota; Fungi; Ascomycota; Dothideomycetes; Pleosporales; Pleosporaceae. The record is from RNAcentral.